UACGUAGGGUGCGAGCGUUGUCCGGAAUUAUUGGGCGUAAAGAGCUCGUAGGCGGUUUGUCGCGUCUGCCGUGAAAGUCCGGGGCUCAACUCCGGAUCUGCGGUGGGUACGGGCAGACUAGAGUGAUGUAGGGGAGACUGGAAUUCCUGGUGUAGCGGUGAAAUGCGCAGAUAUCAGGAGGAACACCGAUGGCGAAGGCCGGUCUCUGGGCAUUAACUGACGCUGAGGAGCGAAAGCAUGGGGAGCGAACAGG
This 253-nucleotide ribosomal RNA is filed under the name uncultured bacterium. Its description in RNAcentral is "partial 16S ribosomal RNA". It matches the Rfam family "Bacterial small subunit ribosomal RNA", at positions 524 to 776 of the family's 1533-position model. The record is from RNAcentral.